RNAcentral lists this small nuclear RNA (117 nucleotides) under Phaseolus vulgaris (common bean). RNAcentral's name for it is "snRNA U5". It matches the Rfam family "U5 spliceosomal RNA". Rfam says of the family: U5 RNA is a component of both types of known spliceosome. The precise function of this molecule is unknown, though it is known that the 5' loop is required for splice site selection and p220 binding, and that both the 3' stem-loop and the Sm site are important for Sm protein binding and cap methylation. Lineage: Eukaryota; Viridiplantae; Streptophyta; Magnoliopsida; Fabales; Fabaceae. The record is from Rfam by way of RNAcentral.
AGCCGUGCACUGAAUACAAAGCGAACUAUUCUUUCGCCUUUUACUAAAGAAUACCGUGUUUUCAUUGUAUUAAACGGCAUAAGUUAAUUUUUGAAAGAGAAUUCUUUUGAAAUUUCU